Molecule: long non-coding RNA, 221 nt
Filed under: Gossypium barbadense (sea-island cotton)
Lineage: Eukaryota; Viridiplantae; Streptophyta; Magnoliopsida; Malvales; Malvaceae
Description: long non-coding RNA (GBAR_LNC004149)
Source: RNAcentral
UUUUGCCAACCCAAACCCAACAAAUCACUACCCAUUACAAACAAACUAAUAUCCACUAACCCAAUAUUACCAGCCCAAUACCUAACCCUAAGCCCAAAACAACCCAAGACCCAAAUCAGAAAAACACCCAACAACCCUAACCCCUAUUCCCACUUGCGUCGAACCUACCCCCACCUGCCUUCUGACACCAGCACCGGCCACCUGCUCCACCGUGCCCAUCC